This 253-nucleotide ribosomal RNA is filed under the name uncultured bacterium. RNAcentral's name for it is "partial 16S ribosomal RNA". It matches the Rfam family "Bacterial small subunit ribosomal RNA", at positions 524 to 776 of the family's 1533-position model. The record is from RNAcentral.
GACGAACCGUGCGAACGUUGUUCGGAAUCACUGGGCUUAAAGGGCGCGUAGGCGGUCUGUCAAGUCAGGGGUGAAAGCCUCCAGCUUAACUGGAGAAGUGCCUUUGAUACUGACGGACUCGAGUGAGGUAGGGGUAGUGGGAACUUCCGGUGGAGCGGUGAAAUGCGUUGAUAUCGGAAGGAACGCCGGUGGCGAAAGCGCACUACUGGACCUCUUCUGACGCUGAGGCGCGAAAGCCAGGGGAGCAAACGGG